This 468-nucleotide ribosomal RNA is filed under the name uncultured bacterium. RNAcentral's name for it is "partial 16S ribosomal RNA". It matches the Rfam family "Bacterial small subunit ribosomal RNA", at positions 28 to 507 of the family's 1533-position model. The record is from RNAcentral.
GACGAACGCUGGCGGCGUGCUUAACACAUGCAAGUCGAACGGAAAGGCCCUGCUUUUGUGGGGUGCUCGAGUGGCGAACGGGUGAGUAACACGUGAGUAACCUGCCCUUGACUUUGGGAUAACUUCAGGAAACUGGGGCUAAUACCGGAUAGGAGCUCCUGCUGCAUGGUGGGGGUUGGAAAGUUUCGGCGGUUGGGGAUGGACUCGCGGCUUAUCGGCUUGUUGGUGGGGUAGUGGCUUACCAAGGCUUUGACGGGUAGCCGGCCUGAGAGGGUGACCGGCCACAUUGGGACUGAGAGACGGCCCAGACUCCUACGGGAGGCAGCAGUGGGGAAUAUUGCACAAUGGGCGGAAGCCUGAUGCAGCAACGCCGCGUGCGGGAUGACGGCCUUCGGGUUGUAAACCGCUUUCGCCUGUGACGAAGCGUGAGUGACGGUAAUGGGUGAAGAAGCACCGGCUAACUACGUG